Molecule: ribosomal RNA, 499 nt
Filed under: uncultured bacterium
Lineage: Bacteria
Description: bacterial SSU rRNA
Rfam family: Bacterial small subunit ribosomal RNA
Source: RNAcentral
AGUUUGAUCAUGGCUCAGAUUGAACGCUGGCGGAAUGCUUUACACAUGCAAGUCGAGCGGCAGCGCGGGGCAACCUGGCGGCGAGCGGCGAACGGGUGAGUAAUACAUCGGAACGUGCCCAGACGUGGGGGAUAACUACUCGAAAGAGUGGCUAAUACCGCAUACGAUCUAAGGAUGAAAGCGGGGGAUCGCAAGACCUCGCGCGUUUGGAGCGGCCGAUGGCAGAUUUGGUAGUUGGUGGGUAAAGGCUCACCAAGCCCGCGAUCUGUAGCUGGUCUGAGAGGAUGAUCAGCCACACUGGGACUGGGACACGGCCCAGACUCCUACGGGAGGCAGCAGUGGGGAAUUUUGGACAAUGGGCGAAAGCCUGAUCCAGCCAUUCCGCGUGCAGGAUGAAGGCCCUCGGGUUGUAAACUGCUUUUGUACAGAACGAAAAAGCUCUUUCUAAUACAGAGAGUCCAUGACGGUAUUGUAAGAAUAAGCACCGGCUAACUACGUG